UCUCUUCCUUUCUUUUCCAUAGCGCGUCUUACCCUGCAAGUGACAAUUAAUGCUCGAAAGAACAUAAAAUGGAGGAGAAAUUACAGCAAUUUAUCAGCUGAAAUUAUAGGUGUAGACACAUGUCAGCCGUGGAAAUGGUUUCUAUCAAAAUUAAAGUAUUUAGAGAUUUUCCUCAAAUUUCAAAUUAUGCAAAUUCCAUUUUCUGAGAUGCCACAGCAUGGUGGCUUUAAUUGCAGGCUUACUAGGAAUGUCUCGAGAAACACGGGGACUUGAGGGUCUCUCUCCUUCCUAAGCAGUUCUUUCAUGCCCACAACUCACAAAUGCAAGAGACAGACAGACCUAAGCUGUGAGGAGGACUGUGGCUUCCACAGCUGCACAGUGGACCAUGGAGACCUGCAGCAGUUAGAUGGCAGUCUGCCCACCCCAGAGACAGCCAAGAACGCUGGUGUCUGGUGGUACCUUGGCCAGGGUGAAUCUAACAUGCUGUGCAGCACCUCACCAGGUUCCUGUUCCCAAGCCCCUCCUUGGUUAAAUUUUACUCAAACUGUUCUUCAGUGGUCCACAGGAACACAACUGUUCUGUGUUGCAGUUUGCAUGCAGCUUGAAUGUUCCCCAGGAUUUUCACUCUGAAAUUU
RNAcentral lists this unclassified non-coding RNA (635 nucleotides) under Mus musculus (house mouse). RNAcentral's name for it is "human accelerated region 1 forward b". The stretch from base 65 to 182 matches the Rfam family "Highly accelerated region 1A/1B". Lineage: Eukaryota; Metazoa; Chordata; Mammalia; Rodentia; Muridae. The record is from RNAcentral.